RNAcentral lists this transfer RNA (73 nucleotides) under Urocitellus parryii (Arctic ground squirrel). RNAcentral's name for it is "Spermophilus parryii (Arctic ground squirrel) tRNA". It matches the Rfam family "tRNA". From Rfam's summary of the family: Transfer RNA (tRNA) molecules are approximately 80 nucleotides in length. Their secondary structure includes four short double-helical elements and three loops (D, anti-codon, and T loops). Further hydrogen bonds mediate the characteristic L-shaped molecular structure. tRNAs have two regions of fundamental functional importance: the anti-codon, which is responsible for specific mRNA codon recognition, and the 3' end, to which the tRNAs corresponding amino acid is attached (by aminoacyl-tRNA synthetases). tRNAs cope with the degeneracy of the genetic code in two manners: having more than one tRNA (with a specific anti-codon) for a particular amino acid; and 'wobble' base-pairing, i.e. permitting non-standard base-pairing at the 3rd anti-codon position. RNAcentral also lists the same sequence under 2 other names. Lineage: Eukaryota; Metazoa; Chordata; Mammalia; Rodentia; Sciuridae. The record is from Rfam by way of RNAcentral.
GGGGAUAUAGCUCAGUUGGUAGAGUGUUUGCCUCACAUGCACAAGGUCCUGGGUUCAAUCCCCAGUAACCCCC